RNAcentral lists this ribosomal RNA (497 nucleotides) under uncultured bacterium. RNAcentral describes it as "partial 16S ribosomal RNA". It matches the Rfam family "Bacterial small subunit ribosomal RNA", at positions 28 to 507 of the family's 1533-position model. The record is from RNAcentral.
GAUGAACGCUGGCGGCGUGCCUAAUACAUGCAAGUCGAGCGAACGGACGAGAAGCUUGCUUCUCUGAUGUUAGCGGCGGACGGGUGAGUAACACGUGUAUAACCUACCUAUAAGACUGGGAUAACUUCGGGAAACCGGAGCUAAUACCGGAUAAUAUUUUGCACCGCAGGGUUCAAAAGUGAAAGUCGGCCUUGCUGUCACUUAUAGAUGGAUCCGCGCUGCAUUAGCUAGUUGGUAGGGUAACGGCUUACCAAGGCGACGAUGCAUAGCCGACCUGAGUGGGUGAUCGGCCACACUGGAACUGGGACACGGUCCAGACGCCUACGGGAGGCAGCAGUAGGGAAUCUUCCGCAAUGGGCGAAAGCCUGACGGAGCAACGCCGCGUGAGUGAUGAAGGUCUUCGGAUCGUAAAGCUCUGUUAUUAGGGAAGAACAUAUGUGGAAUUAACUGUGCACAUCUUGACGGUACCUAAUCAGAAAGCCACGGCUAACUACGUG